GAUGAACGCUAGCUACAGGCUUAACACAUGCAAGUCGAGGGGUAACAAGAGAAAAGCUUGCUUUUCUUGUUGACGACCGGCGCACGGGUGAGUAACGCGUAUCCAACCUGUCUAUAACUAGGGAAUAACCUUGCGAAAGUAAGACUAAUACCCUAUGAUUUCCUUUGAUGACAUCAGAUUAGGAAUAAAGAUUUAUCGGUUAUAGAGGGGGAUGCGUCUGAUUAGCUUGUUGGCGGGGUAACGGCCCACCAAGGGAACGAUCAGUAGGGGUUCUGAGAGGAAGGUCCCCCACAUUGGAACUGAGACACGGUCCAAACUCCUACGGGAGGCAGUAGUGAGGAAUAUUGGUCAAUGGGCGGAAGCCUGAACCAGCCAAGUAGCGUGCAGGAUGACGGCCCUAUGGGUUGUAAACUGCUUUUAUACAGGAAUAAAGUUAGCCACGUGUGGUUAUUUGUAGGUACUGUAUGAAUAAGGACCGGCUAAUUCCGUGCCAGCAGCCGCCGUAA
Molecule: ribosomal RNA, 506 nt
Filed under: uncultured bacterium
Lineage: Bacteria
Description: partial 16S ribosomal RNA
Rfam family: Bacterial small subunit ribosomal RNA
Source: RNAcentral